UCCUGGCUCAGAUUGAACGCUGGCGGCAGGCCUAACACAUGCAAGUCGAGCGGUAGCACAGAGAGCUUGCUCUUGGGUGACGAGCGGCGGACGGGUGAGUAAUGUCUGGGAAACUGCCUGAUGGAGGGGGAUAACUACUGGAAACGGUAGCUAAUACCGCAUAACGUCGCAAGACCAAAGUGGGGGACCUUCGGGCCUCAUGCCAUCAGAUGUGCCCAGAUGGGAUUAGCUAGUAGGUGGGGUAAUGGCUCACCUAGGCGACGAUCCCUAGCUGGUCUGAGAGGAUGACCAGCCACACUGGAACUGAGACACGGUCCAGACUCCUACGGGAGGCAGCAGUGGGGAAUAUUGCACAAUGGGCGCAAGCCUGAUGCAGCCAUGCCGCGUGUAUGAAGAAGGCCUUCGGGUUGUAAAGUACUUUCAGCGAGGAGGAAGGCGUUAAGGUUAAUAACCUUGGCGAUUGACGUUACUCGCAGAAGAAGCACCGGCUAACUCCGUGCCAGCAGCCGCGGUAAUACGGAGGGUGCAAGCGUUAAUCGGAAUUACUGGGCGUAAAGCGCACGCAGGCGGUCUGUUAAGUCAGAUGUGAAAUCCCCGGGCUCAACCUGGGAACUGCAUUUGAAACUGGCAGGCUUGAGUCUUGUAGAGGGGGGUAGAAUUCCAGGUGUAGCGGUGAAAUGCGUAGAGAUCUGGAGGAAUACCGGUGGCGAAGGCGGCCCCCUGGACAAAGACUGACGCUCAGGUGCGAAAG
Molecule: ribosomal RNA, 751 nt
Filed under: uncultured Raoultella sp.
Lineage: Bacteria; Pseudomonadati; Pseudomonadota; Gammaproteobacteria; Enterobacterales; Enterobacteriaceae
Description: bacterial SSU rRNA
Rfam family: Bacterial small subunit ribosomal RNA
Source: RNAcentral